CGCAGGCGGUCGUUCAAGUCGAGUGUGAAAGCCCCCGGCUCAACUGGGGAGGGUCACUCGAUACUGAUCGACUUGAAGGCAGGAGAGGGAAGCGGAAUUCCCGGUGUAGUGGUGAAAUGCGUAGAUAUCGGGAGGAACACCAGUGGCGAAGGCGGCUUCCUGGCCUGUUCUUGACGCUGAGGCGCGAAAGCUAGGGGAAGCAAACG
This 206-nucleotide ribosomal RNA is filed under the name uncultured bacterium. RNAcentral describes it as "partial 16S ribosomal RNA". It matches the Rfam family "Bacterial small subunit ribosomal RNA", at positions 570 to 774 of the family's 1533-position model. The record is from RNAcentral.